UAUCGACGAGUUUGAUCCUGGCUCAGAUUGAACGCUGGCGGCAUGCUUUACACAUGCAAGUCGAACGGUAACGGGGACUUCGGUCUGCCGACGAGUGGCGAACGGGUGAGUAAUAUAUCGGAACGUGCCCAGUAAUGGGGGAUAGCUCGGCGAAAGCCGGAUUAAUACCGCAUACGCCCUGAGGGGGAAAGUGGGGGAUCUUCGGACCUCACGUUAUUGGAGCGGCCGAUAUCAGAUUAGCUAGUUGGUGGGGUAAAGGCCUACCAAGGCGACGAUCUGUAGCUGGUCUGAGAGGAUGAUCAGCCACACUGGGACUGAGACACGGCCCAGACUCCUACGGGAGGCAGCAGUGGGGAAUUUUGGACAAUGGGCGAAAGCCUGAUCCAGCCAUGCCGCGUGAGUGAAGAAGGCCUUCGGGUUGUAAAGCUCUUUCAGGUGGAAAGAAAGCGGAUGGGUUAAUACCCUGUCCGGAUGACGGUACCACCAGAAGAAGCACCGGCUAACUACGUG
Molecule: ribosomal RNA, 510 nt
Filed under: uncultured bacterium
Lineage: Bacteria
Description: bacterial SSU rRNA
Rfam family: Bacterial small subunit ribosomal RNA
Source: RNAcentral